This 460-nucleotide ribosomal RNA is filed under the name uncultured bacterium. RNAcentral's name for it is "partial 16S ribosomal RNA". It matches the Rfam family "Bacterial small subunit ribosomal RNA", at positions 338 to 795 of the family's 1533-position model. The record is from RNAcentral.
CCUACGGGCGGCAGCAGUGAGGAAUAUUGGUCAAUGGCCGUAAGGCUGAACCAGCCAAGUAGCGUGAGGGAAGACUGCCCUAUGGGUUGUAAACCUCUUUUAUGCGGGGAUAAAGGUGUCCACGUGUGGAUGUUUGCAGGUACCGCAUGAAUAAAGACCGGCUAGUUCCGUGCCAGCAGCCGCGGUAAUACGGAAGGUCCGGGCGUUAUCCGGAUUUAGUGGGUUGAAAGGGAGCGUAGGCCGGUCUUUAAGCGUGCCGUGAAAUUUGGUGGCUUAACCAUGAGAGUGCGGCGCGAACUGGAGUCCUUGAGUGCGCGGAAGGCAGGCGGAAUUCGUGGUGUAGCGGUGAAAUGCUUAGAUAUCACGAAGAACCCCGAUUGCGAAGGCAGCCUGCCGCAGCGUUACUGACGCUGAAGCUCGAAAGCGCGGGUAUCGAACAGGAUUAGAUACCCCAGUAGUC